CCUACGGGGGGCAGCAGUGGGGGAUAUUGCACAAUGGGGGAAACCCUGAUGCAGCGACGCCGCGUGGGUGAAGAAGCGCCUCGGCGCGUAAAGCCCUGUCAGCAGGGAAGAAAAUGACGGUACUUGAAGAAGAAGCCCCGGCUAACUACGUGCCAGCAGCCGCGGUAAUACGUAGGGGGCAAGCGUUAUCCGGAUUUACUGGGUGUAAAGGGGGCGCAGACGGCGAUGCAAGCCAGGAGUGAAAGCCCGGGGCCCAACCCCGGGACUGCUCUUGGAACUACGUGGCUAGAGUGCAGGAGGGGCAG
This 305-nucleotide ribosomal RNA is filed under the name uncultured bacterium. Its description in RNAcentral is "bacterial SSU rRNA". It matches the Rfam family "Bacterial small subunit ribosomal RNA", at positions 338 to 660 of the family's 1533-position model. The record is from RNAcentral.